UAAACGUCUCAGUUCGGAUUGUAGUCUGCAACUCGACUACAUGAAGCUGGAAUCGCUAGUAAUCGCGGAUCAGAAUGCCGCGGUGAAUACGUUCCCGGGUCUUGUACACACCGCCCGUCACACCAUGGGAGUCAGUAACGCCCGAAGCCGGUGACCCAACCUAACAAGGAGGGAGCCGUCGAAGGCGGGACGGAUGACUGGGGUGAAGUCGUAACAAGGUAAC
This 223-nucleotide ribosomal RNA is filed under the name uncultured bacterium. RNAcentral describes it as "partial 16S ribosomal RNA". It matches the Rfam family "Bacterial small subunit ribosomal RNA", at positions 1277 to 1500 of the family's 1533-position model. The record is from RNAcentral.